AUGCGAGAUGUGCCAAUCGCACAGCUUGCUGAGAGGCUGCUAUGUCAACGUCUUGGCAUUGUUGCUGAAGGGGAGCAACUCACUGAAGCGGCCAUCAGCAAAUUCGUGUCAUUAUUCCAUGGGAGGUUGCCAGACAUCACCAUUGCGGCCCUGCGUGCACUCUUCCAUCUAGACUGUGACCUGCUGACGGCGGUUGAGGAUGCACUGGUUCAACACGGUGGUGAGGAUGGUCCAGAGCUGCAGAUGCAAGGAAAUGAAGACGUUGCAGCGUCGACGGCGACAUAG
RNAcentral lists this ribosomal RNA (285 nucleotides) under Triticum aestivum (bread wheat). RNAcentral describes it as "partial small subunit ribosomal RNA". Lineage: Eukaryota; Viridiplantae; Streptophyta; Magnoliopsida; Poales; Poaceae. The record is from RNAcentral.